UACAGAGGUCCCAAGCGUUGUUCGGAUUCACUGGGCGUAAAGCGGGUGUAGGCGGUUCUUUAAGUCAGAUGUGAAAUCCUGCGGCUCAACCGCGGAACUGCAUCUGAUACUGGGGAACUUGAGGACGGUAGAGGUCGGUGGAAUCCCCGGUGUACCGGUGAAAUGGGCAGAUAUCGGGGGGAACACCAGUGGCGAAGGCGGCCGACUGGGCCGAUCCUGACGCUGAGACCCGAAAGCCAGGGUAGCGAACCGG
This 253-nucleotide ribosomal RNA is filed under the name uncultured bacterium. Its description in RNAcentral is "partial 16S ribosomal RNA". It matches the Rfam family "Bacterial small subunit ribosomal RNA", at positions 524 to 776 of the family's 1533-position model. The record is from RNAcentral.